This 526-nucleotide ribosomal RNA is filed under the name uncultured beta proteobacterium. RNAcentral describes it as "bacterial SSU rRNA". It matches the Rfam family "Bacterial small subunit ribosomal RNA", at positions 8 to 524 of the family's 1533-position model. Lineage: Bacteria; Pseudomonadati; Pseudomonadota; Betaproteobacteria. The record is from RNAcentral.
AGAGUUUGAUCCUGGCUCAGRACGAACGCUGGCGGCAUACCUUACACAUGCAAGUCGAGACGGCAGCAUGGGUAGCUUGCACCUGAUGGCGAGUGGCGAACGGGUGAGUAAUGCAUCGGAACGUACCCGGAAGUGGGGGAUAACGUAGCGAAAGUUACGCUAAUACCGCAUAUUCUGUGAGCAGGAAAGCAGGGGCUCGUAAGACCUUGCGCUUUCGGAGCGGCCGAUGUCGGAUUAGCUAGUUGGUGAGGUAAAGGCUCACCAAGGCGACGAUCCGUAGCGGGUCUGAGAGGAUGAUCCGCCACACUGGGACUGAGACACGGCCCAGACUCCUACGGGAGGCAGCAGUGGGGAAUUUUGGACAAUGGGCGGAAGCCUGAUCCAGCCAUGCCGCGUGAGUGAAGAAGGCCUUCGGGUUGUAAAGCUCUUUUGUCAGGGAAGAAAUAGUMUGGGUUAAUACCCUGGGCUGGAUGACGGUACCGGAAGAAUAAGCACCGGCUAACUACGUGCCAGCAGCCGCGGUAAU